Molecule: ribosomal RNA, 510 nt
Filed under: uncultured bacterium
Lineage: Bacteria
Description: partial 16S ribosomal RNA
Rfam family: Bacterial small subunit ribosomal RNA
Source: RNAcentral
GACGAACGCUGGCGGCGUGCUUAACACAUGCAAGUCGAACGAAGAGCGAUGGAAGCUUGCUUCUAUCAAUCUUAGUGGCGAACGGGUGAGUAACGCGUAAUCAACCUGCCCUUCAGAGGGGGACAACAGUUGGAAACGACUGCUAAUACCGCAUACGAUCCAAUCUCGGCAUCGAGGAUGGAUGAAAGGUGGCCUCUAUUUAUAAGCUAUCACUGAAGGAGGGGAUUGCGUCUGAUUAGCUAGUUGGAGGGGUAACGGCCCACCAAGGCGAUGAUCAGUAGCCGGUCUGAGAGGAUGAACGGCCACAUUGGGACUGAGACACGGCCCAGACUCCUACGGGAGGCAGCAGUGGGGAAUCUUCCGCAAUGGACGAAAGUCUGACGGAGCAACGCCGCGUGAGUGAUGACGGCCUUCGGGUUGUAAAGCUCUGUUAAUCGGGACGAAAGGUCCUCUUGCGAAUAGUUAGAGGAAUUGACGGUACCGGAAUAGAAAGCCACGGCUAACUACGUG